RNAcentral lists this ribosomal RNA (484 nucleotides) under uncultured bacterium. RNAcentral's name for it is "bacterial SSU rRNA". It matches the Rfam family "Bacterial small subunit ribosomal RNA", at positions 28 to 526 of the family's 1533-position model. The record is from RNAcentral.
GACGAACGCUGGCGGCGUGCUUAACACAUGCAAGUCGAGCGGUAAGGCUCCUUCGGGAGUACACGAGCGGCGAACGGGUGAGUAACACGUGAGUAAUCUGCCCUUCACUUCGGGAUAACCGCCGGAAACGGUGGCUAAUACCGGAUACGACGCACUCUCGCAUGAGAUGUGCGUGGAAAGUUUUCUCGGUGGAGGAUGUGCUCGCGGCCUAUCAGCUUGUUGGUGAGGUAACGGCUCACCAAGGCUUCGACGGGUAGCCGGCCUGAGAGGGUGACCGGCCACACUGGGACUGAGACACGGCCCAGACUCCUACGGGAGGCAGCAGUGGGGAAUAUUGCACAAUGGGCGCAAGCCUGAUGCAGCAACGCCGCGUGAGGGAUGACGGCCUUCGGGUUGUAAACCUCUUUUAGCAGGGAAGAAGCGAGAGUGACGGUACCUGCAGAAAAAGCGCCGGCUAACUACGUGCCAGCAGCCGCAGUAAUAC